This 498-nucleotide ribosomal RNA is filed under the name Anelosimus guacamayos. Its description in RNAcentral is "partial 16S ribosomal RNA". The stretch from base 105 to 404 matches the Rfam family "Bacterial large subunit ribosomal RNA", at positions 2074 to 2646 of the family's 2925-position model. Lineage: Eukaryota; Metazoa; Arthropoda; Arachnida; Araneae; Theridiidae. The record is from RNAcentral.
UUCGUUUUUUAAUUAAAAACUAGAAUGAAAGGUUAUACAUUCAAAUUUCUUUAUUAAUUUCUAAUUAAUAAUUUAUAUUAAAUAUAAAAAUAUACUUAUAAAAAAAAAAGACGACAAGACCCUAUUAAAUUUUACUUAUAGUUUAACUGGGGAAGUUUUUUAAUUAAAAUUUUUUAAAUUUAAUAAAUAAAAAUCUAAUAAAAUUAAAACUUUAACAAAUUACUAUAGGGAUAACAGCAUUAUAUUUUUUAAAAGUUCAUAUUAAAAAAAAUGAUUAUGACCUCGAUGUUGAAUUAUAUUUUCUAUAUUUAAUGCAAUAAUUAUAAAAGUAGAUCUGUUCGAUCUUUAAAAUAUUACAUGAUUUGAGUUCAAACCGGUGUAAACCAGGUUGGUUUCUAUCUUUUUAUAUAUUUUUCCAGUACGAAAGGACAAACAAAUUUUUAUUUUAAUAAAUUAGCAAAUAAAUGCAUUAGAUUUAGAAUCUAAAUAUAUUUAAUA